UACGGAGGGUGCAAGCGUUAAUCGGAAUUACUGGGCGUAUAGCGCGCGUAGGCGGUUUUUUAAGUCGGAUGUGAAAGCCCCGGGCUCAACCUGGGAACUGCAUCCGAUACUGGAAGACUAGAAUGCGGGAGAGGGAGGUAGAAUUCCAUGUGUAGCAGUGAAAUGCGUAGAUAUAUGGAGGAAUACCAGUGGCGAAGGCGUCCUCCUGGCUCGACAUUGACGCUGAGGUGCGAAAGCGUGGGGAGCAAACGGG
This 253-nucleotide ribosomal RNA is filed under the name uncultured bacterium. Its description in RNAcentral is "partial 16S ribosomal RNA". It matches the Rfam family "Bacterial small subunit ribosomal RNA", at positions 524 to 776 of the family's 1533-position model. The record is from RNAcentral.